CCGUCGAUAGCUCAGUUGGUAGAGCGGUGGACUGUAGAGGUGCCCUGCUGACAUCCAUAGGUCGCUGGUUCGAAUCCGGCUCGACGGA
This 88-nucleotide transfer RNA is filed under the name Haemaphysalis longicornis (longhorned tick). It matches the Rfam family "tRNA". From Rfam's summary of the family: Transfer RNA (tRNA) molecules are approximately 80 nucleotides in length. Their secondary structure includes four short double-helical elements and three loops (D, anti-codon, and T loops). Lineage: Eukaryota; Metazoa; Arthropoda; Arachnida; Ixodida; Ixodidae. The record is from Rfam by way of RNAcentral.